This 200-nucleotide long non-coding RNA is filed under the name Lathyrus oleraceus (garden pea). Its description in RNAcentral is "Pisum sativum (pea) long non-coding RNA (PSAT_LNC028655)". The record is from RNAcentral. Lineage: Eukaryota; Viridiplantae; Streptophyta; Magnoliopsida; Fabales; Fabaceae.
UUUGUUUCUUUCUUUUGACUUUUUUUUCUUUUUGAUUCUUUUUUUUUCUUUUGAUUGAUUUUUUUUUCUUUUUUUUUACCCUCCUCUUUCCAUUUUUGUUUUUUGUUAAUGCCCCAGUUGGCUGUUAUGCUGAUUCUCGAGGUGCAGCUGAGUGAUCUUCUUUACUUGCUCAAGAAGUCGGGAAAUCUCGUCAGGAAUCC